RNAcentral lists this transfer RNA (64 nucleotides) under Phrynocephalus przewalskii. RNAcentral's name for it is "tRNA-Thr". It matches the Rfam family "tRNA". From Rfam's summary of the family: Transfer RNA (tRNA) molecules are approximately 80 nucleotides in length. Their secondary structure includes four short double-helical elements and three loops (D, anti-codon, and T loops). Further hydrogen bonds mediate the characteristic L-shaped molecular structure. tRNAs have two regions of fundamental functional importance: the anti-codon, which is responsible for specific mRNA codon recognition, and the 3' end, to which the tRNAs corresponding amino acid is attached (by aminoacyl-tRNA synthetases). tRNAs cope with the degeneracy of the genetic code in two manners: having more than one tRNA (with a specific anti-codon) for a particular amino acid; and 'wobble' base-pairing, i.e. permitting non-standard base-pairing at the 3rd anti-codon position. Lineage: Eukaryota; Metazoa; Chordata; Lepidosauria; Squamata; Agamidae. The record is from RNAcentral.
GUCCUGAUAGCUUAAACAUAAAGCAUUAGUUUUGUAAACUAAAAAUGGAUUAAUCCUCAGGACC